This 199-nucleotide non-coding RNA is filed under the name Colwellia sp. Its description in RNAcentral is "Lysine sequence". It matches the Rfam family "Lysine riboswitch aptamer". Rfam says of the family: Riboswitches are metabolite binding domains within certain messenger RNAs that serve as precision sensors for their corresponding targets. Allosteric rearrangement of mRNA structure is mediated by ligand binding, and this results in modulation of gene expression. This family includes riboswitches that sense lysine in a number of genes involved in lysine metabolism, including lysC. The record is from RNAcentral. Lineage: Bacteria; Pseudomonadati; Pseudomonadota; Gammaproteobacteria; Alteromonadales; Colwelliaceae. RNAcentral also lists the same sequence under 1 other name.
UCAACCAGAAGAGGAGCAGUAGCUAGGUAGAUAACACGAAGAACCACCAUUCUUUUGACUGUUAUUGAGGGAGACUAUUGCCGAGAGUAAUUAGCGAGUGGCGUUAUUUAUUCGGUUACUAGGGCUGAAUCCCUAGGAUUGUCACCUCUAGUUAGUAUAUUAAGUGCUAAUUAGAUUAUGGUGGAGAGCUUCUGGCUGA